UACGUAGGGGGCAAGCGUUGUCCGGAUUUAUUGGGCGUAAAGAGCGUGUAGGCGGUCUGACAAGUCUGCUGUGAAAACUCGAGGCUCAACCUCGAGAUGUCGGCGGAAACUGUCUGGCUAGAGUCCGGAAGAGGAGAGUGGAAUUCCUGGUGUAGCGGUGAAAUGCGCAGAUAUCAGGAGGAACACCAAUGGCGAAAGCAGCUCUCUGGGACGGUACUGACGCUGAGACGCGAAAGCGUGGGGAGCGAACAGG
Molecule: ribosomal RNA, 253 nt
Filed under: uncultured bacterium
Lineage: Bacteria
Description: partial 16S ribosomal RNA
Rfam family: Bacterial small subunit ribosomal RNA
Source: RNAcentral